AAGGAAGUGAUUCCGGCGGAGGAUGGGCAUGCGGCGCAUUAGCUAGUUGGCGGGGUAACGGCCCACCAAGGCGACGAUGCGUAGGGGUUCUGAGAGGAAGGUCCCCCACACUGGUACUGAGACACGGACCAGACUCCUACGGGAGGCAGCAGUGAGGAAUAUUGGUCAAUGGGCGGGAGCCUGAACCAGCCAAGUCGCGUGAGGGAAGACGGUCCUAUGGAUUGUAAACCUCUUUAGGCGGGGAGCAAUGCCGGGCACGCGUGCCCGGAGGGAGAGUACCCGCAGAAUAAGCAUCGGCUAACUCCGUGCCAGCAGCCGCGGUAAUACGGAGGAUGCGAGCGUUAUCCGGAUUUAUUGGGUUUAAAGGGUGCGUAGGCGGAUUUUUAAGUCAGCGGUAAAAUGUCCGGGCUCAACCCGGGCCGGCCGUUGAAACUGGGGAUCUUGAGUGGGCGAGAAGUAUGCGGAAUGCGUGGUGUAGCGGUGAAAUGCAUAGAUAUCACGCAGAACUCCGAUUGCGAAGGCAGCAUACCGGCGCCCGACUGACGCUGAGGCACGAAAGCGUGGGGAUCGAACAGGAUUAGAUACCCUGGUAGUCCACGCAGUAAACGAUGAAUGCUAGUUGUCCGGUUCUUUGGGACUGG
RNAcentral lists this ribosomal RNA (641 nucleotides) under uncultured bacterium. Its description in RNAcentral is "bacterial SSU rRNA". It matches the Rfam family "Bacterial small subunit ribosomal RNA", at positions 202 to 842 of the family's 1533-position model. The record is from RNAcentral.